GGUUAAGCGACUAAGCGUACACGGUGGAUGCCCUGGCAGUCAGAGGCGAUGAAGGACGUGCUAAUCUGCGAUAAGCGUCGGUAAGGUGAUAUGAACCGUUAUAACCGGCGAUUUCCGAAUGGGGAAACCCAGUGUGUUUCGACACACUAUCAUUAACUGAAUCCAUAGGUUAAUGAGGCGAACCGGGGGAACUGAAACAUCUAAGUACCCCGAGGAAAAGAAAUCAACCGAGAUUCCCCCAGUAGCGGCGAGCGAACGGGGAGCAGCCCAGAGCCUGAAUCAGUAUGUGUGUUAGUGGAAGCGUCUGGAAAGGCGCGCGAUACAGGGUGACAGCCCCGUACACAAAAAUGCACAUGCUGUGAGCUCGAUGAGUAGGGCGGGACACGUGGUAUCCUGUCUGAAUAUGGGGGGACCAUCCUCCAAGGCUAAAUACUCCUGACUGACCGAUAGUGAACCAGUACCGUGAGGGAAAGGCGAAAAGAACCCCGGCGAGGGGAGUGAAAAAGAACCUGAAACCGUGUACGUACAAGCAGUGGGAGCACGCUUAGGCGUGUGACUGCGUACCUUUUGUAUAAUGGGUCAGCGACUUAUAUUCUGUAGCAAGGUUAACCGAAUAGGGGAGCCGAAGGGAAACCGAGUCUUAACUGGGCGUUAAGUUGCAGGGUAUAGACCCGAAACCCGGUGAUCUAGCCAUGGGCAGGUUGAAGGUUGGGUAACACUAACUGGAGGACCGAACCGACUAAUGUUGAAAAAUUAGCGGAUGACUUGUGGCUGGGGGUGAAAGGCCAAUCAAACCGGGAGAUAGCUGGUUCUCCCCGAAAGCUAUUUAGGUAGCGCCUCGUGAAUUCAUCUCCGGGGGUAGAGCACUGUUUCGGCAAGGGGGUCAUCCCGACUUACCAACCCGAUGCAAACUGCGAAUACCGGAGAAUGUUAUCACGGGAGACACACGGCGGGUGCUAACGUCCGUCGUGAAGAGGGAAACAACCCAGACCGCCAGCUAAGGUCCCAAAGUCAUGGUUAAGUGGGAAACGAUGUGGGAAGGCCCAGACAGCCAGGAUGUUGGCUUAGAAGCAGCCAUCAUUUAAAGAAAGCGUAAUAGCUCACUGGUCGAGUCGGCCUGCGCGGAAGAUGUAACGGGGCUAAACCAUGCACCGAAGCUGCGGCAGCGACGCUGAUGCGUUGUUGGGUAGGGGAGCGUUCUGUAAGCCUGCGAAGGUGUGCUGUGAGGCAUGCUGGAGGUAUCAGAAGUGCGAAUGCUGACAUAAGUAACGAUAAAGCGGGUGAAAAGCCCGCUCGCCGGAAGACCAAGGGUUCCUGUCCAACGUUAAUCGGGGCAGGGUGAGUCGACCCCUAAGGCGAGGCCGAAAGGCGUAGUCGAUGGGAAACAGGUUAAUAUUCCUGUACUUGGUGUUACUGCGAAGGGGGGACGGAGAAGGCUAUGUUGGCCGGGCGACGGUUGUCCCGGUUUAAGCGUGUAGGCUGGUUUUCCAGGCAAAUCCGGAAAAUCAAGGCUGAGGCGUGAUGACGAGGCACUACGGUGCUGAAGCAACAAAUGCCCUGCUUCCAGGAAAAGCCUCUAAGCAUCAGGUAACAUCAAAUCGUACCCCAAACCGACACAGGUGGUCAGGUAGAGAAUACCAAGGCGCUUGAGAGAACUCGGGUGAAGGAACUAGGCAAAAUGGUGCCGUAACUUCGGGAGAAGGCACGCUGAUAUGUAGGUGAGGUCCCUCGCGGAUGGAGCUGAAAUCAGUCGAAGAUACCAGCUGGCUGCAACUGUUUAUUAAAAACACAGCACUGUGCAAACACGAAAGUGGACGUAUACGGUGUGACGCCUGCCCGGUGCCGGAAGGUUAAUUGAUGGGGUUAGCGCAAGCGAAGCUCUUGAUCGAAGCCCCGGUAAACGGCGGCCGUAACUAUAACGGUCCUAAGGUAGCGAAAUUCCUUGUCGGGUAAGUUCCGACCUGCACGAAUGGCGUAAUGAUGGCCAGGCUGUCUCCACCCGAGACUCAGUGAAAUUGAACUCGCUGUGAAGAUGCAGUGUACCCGCGGCAAGACGGAAAGACCCCGUGAACCUUUACUAUAGCUUGACACUGAACAUUGAGCCUUGAUGUGUAGGAUAGGUGGGAGGCUUAGAAGUGUGGACGCCAGUCUGCAUGGAGCCGACCUUGAAAUACCACCCUUUAAUGUUUGAUGUUCUAACGUUGACCCGUAAUCCGGGUUGCGGACAGUGUCUGGUGGGUAGUUUGACUGGGGCGGUCUCCUCCUAAAGAGUAACGGAGGAGCACGAAGGUUGGCUAAUCCUGGUCGGACAUCAGGAGGUUAGUGCAAUGGCAUAAGCCAGCUUGACUGCGAGCGUGACGGCGCGAGCAGGUGCGAAAGCAGGUCAUAGUGAUCCGGUGGUUCUGAAUGGAAGGGCCAUCGCUCAACGGAUAAAAGGUACUCCGGGGAUAACAGGCUGAUACCGCCCAAGAGUUCAUAUCGACGGCGGUGUUUGGCACCUCGAUGUCGGCUCAUCACAUCCUGGGGCUGAAGUAGGUCCCAAGGGUAUGGCUGUUCGCCAUUUAAAGUGGUACGCGAGCUGGGUUUAGAACGUCGUGAGACAGUUCGGUCCCUAUCUGCCGUGGGCGCUGGAGAACUGAGGGGGGCUGCUCCUAGUACGAGAGGACCGGAGUGGACGCAUCACUGGUGUUCGGGUUGUCAUGCCAAUGGCACUGCCCGGUAGCUAAAUGCGGAAGAGAUAAGUGCUGAAAGCAUCUAAGCACGAAACUUGCCCCGAGAUGAGUUCUCCCUGACCCUUUAAGGGUCCUGAAGGAACGUUGAAGACGACGACGUUGAUAGGCCGGGUGUGUAAGCGCAGCGAUGCGUUGAGCUAACCGGUACUAAUGAACCGUGAGGCUUAACCUU
RNAcentral lists this ribosomal RNA (2904 nucleotides) under Escherichia coli. RNAcentral's name for it is "23S ribosomal RNA". It matches the Rfam family "Bacterial large subunit ribosomal RNA". The record is from RNAcentral. Lineage: Bacteria; Pseudomonadati; Pseudomonadota; Gammaproteobacteria; Enterobacterales; Enterobacteriaceae.